UCCGUAGGAUGCAAUCGUUGUCCGGAUUUAUUGGGUUUAAAGGGUGCGUAGGCGGCCUAUUAAGUUAGUGGUGAAAACGUUCGGCUUAACCGGAUACCCGCCAUUGAUACUGAUAGACUUGAGUGCGACAGAGGGUGUUGGAAUGUGUGGUGUAGCGGUGAAAUGCUUAGAUAUCACGCAGAACACCAAUUGCGAAGGCAGAUGCCUAUGUCGUAACUGACGCGGAGGCACGAAAGCGUGGGGAGCAAACAGG
This 253-nucleotide ribosomal RNA is filed under the name uncultured bacterium. RNAcentral describes it as "partial 16S ribosomal RNA". It matches the Rfam family "Bacterial small subunit ribosomal RNA", at positions 524 to 776 of the family's 1533-position model. The record is from RNAcentral.